This 454-nucleotide long non-coding RNA is filed under the name Ananas comosus (pineapple). RNAcentral describes it as "long non-coding RNA (ACOM_LNC025844)". The record is from RNAcentral. Lineage: Eukaryota; Viridiplantae; Streptophyta; Magnoliopsida; Poales; Bromeliaceae.
AGUACCUAAAAAAGAUAGGAAAAAACUUCAAAAAUCCCCUAUGUGGUUCCACACUUUUUCAUUUUAGUACUCUAUGAUUUAAAGUGUAUCAAGUUAGUACCCUGUGGUUUCUCACUUUAUCACUUUAGUACCCUGUGGUUUAAAGUGUAUCAAGUUAGUACCCUGUGGUUUUGCACUUUAUCACUUUAGUACCCUGUGGUUUCACACUUUAUCACUUUAGUACGCUAUAGUUUAAAAAACCACAGGGUACUAAUUUGAUACAAAAUCAAAACUACAGGGUACUAAAGUGAUAAAAUGCAAAACCACAGGGUACUAACUUGAUACACUUUAAAUCACAGGAUACUAAAGUGAUAAAGUGAGAAACCACAAUGUACUAACUUGAUACAUUUUAAACCACAGGGUACUAAAGUGAAAAAAAUUGAGACCACAAGGGGGGUUUUUGAAGUUUUCCCAA